This 262-nucleotide long non-coding RNA is filed under the name Mytilus galloprovincialis (Mediterranean mussel). Lineage: Eukaryota; Metazoa; Mollusca; Bivalvia; Mytilida; Mytilidae. The record is from RNAcentral.
GGGGCUAGGACGAAAUUUGAAAAAAUAGGAGGAGACAGGAGUUUUGAGUAAAAAAAAAAGGCAGGAUGAGACACUUACAAAAAAAAAAAGGUCAGGACGACAAUUUAGGUAAAAAAAAGUCAGGAUAAACUAUAAAAAAAAGGCAGGACCGAACAGAGUGAAAAAUAAAAAGGCAGGACAGAGAUUACAGCUAAAAAAAAAUGCAGGACACAAUUUUUCAUCCUAGCCCCCCCCCCUAAAAAUCAAAUGGUAGCUCCCUAAU